UGGGGAAUAUUGCACAAUGGGCGCAAGCCUGAUGCAGCCAUGCCGCGUGUGUGAAGAAGGCCUUCGGGUUGUAAAGCACUUUCAGCGGGGAGGAAGGCGAUAAGGUUAAUAACCUUGUCGAUUGACGUUACCCGCAGAAGAAGCACCGGCUAACUCCGUGCCAGCAGCCGCGGUAAGACGGAGGGUGCAAGCGUUAAGCGGAAUUACUGGGCGUAAAGCGCACGCAGGCGGUCUGUCAAGUCGGAUGUGAAAUCCCCGGGCUCAACCUGGGAACUGCAUCUGAUACUGGCAAGCUUGAGUCUCGUAGAGGGGGGUAGAAUUCCAGGUGUAGCGGUGAAAUGCGUAGAGAUCUGGAGGAAUACCGGUGGCGAAGGCGGCCCCCUGGACGAAGACUGACGCUCAGGUGCGAAAGCGUGGGGAGCAAACAGG
This 429-nucleotide ribosomal RNA is filed under the name Chloroflexota bacterium. RNAcentral describes it as "Chloroflexi bacterium partial 16S ribosomal RNA". It matches the Rfam family "Bacterial small subunit ribosomal RNA", at positions 355 to 776 of the family's 1533-position model. Lineage: Bacteria; Bacillati; Chloroflexota. The record is from RNAcentral.